AGGGUGCAGGGCGGAUGCCUUGGCACUAGGAGCCGAUGAAGGACGUGAUAAGCUGCGAUAAGCUUCGGGGAGUUGCACGUAAACUUUGAUCCGAAGAUUUCCGAAUGAGGAAACUCACUUAGAGUAAUGUCUAAGUAUCAUUAAGUGAAUACAUAGCUUAAUGAGGGGAACUCAGGGAACUGAAACAUCUAAGUACCUGAAGGAAGAGAAAGAAAUUCGAUUCCGUAAGUAGCGGCGAGCGAACGCGGAUUAGCCCAAACCAAUAAAGUUUUCUUUAUUGGGGUUGCGGACAUAUCAUAACGAAGAGGUAUCGUAAUUGAAGAGGUUUGGAAAGACCCACCACAGAAGGUAAUAGUCCUGUAUGUUAAACGAGAAGACUUCAGAUAUGAUCCAGAGUACCACGGGACACGUGAAACCCUGUGGGAAGCAGGAGGGACCACCCUCCAAGGCUAAAUACUACCUAGUGACCGAUAGCGUAUAGUACCGUGAGGGAAAGGUGAAAAGAACCCCGGGAGGGGAGUGAAAUAGAACCUGAAACCCUGCACUUACAAGCUGUGGAAGCACAUUUCUUGUGUGACCGCGUACUUUUUGUAGAACGGGCCAACGAGUUACGUUAAGUAGCAAGGUUAAGCACUUAAGGUGCGGAGCCGUAGCGAAAGCGAGUUUUAACUGAGCGUUCAGUUACUUGACGUAGACCCGAAACCGGGCGACCUACCCAUGAGCAGGAUGAAGCGAAAGUAAAAUUUCGUGGAGGUCCGAACCCACGAGCGUUGAAAAGCUCGGGGAUGACUUGUGGGUAGCGGUGAAAUUCCAAUCGAGCCCGGAGAUAGCUGGUUCUCCCCGAAAUAGCUUUAGGGCUAGCCUCAAGGUGAGAGAUACGGAGGUAGAGCACUGAAUGUCCUAGGGGGUAUUGCACCUACCGAAGACUAUCAAACUCCGAAUGCCGUCAUCUUAUACUUGGGAGUCAGACUGUGGGUGAUAAGAUUCAUAGUCGAAAGGGCAACAGCCCAGAUCGUCAGCUAAGGUCCCUAAAUGUAAGUUAAGUGGUAAAGGAUGUGGGAUUGCACAGACAACCAGGAUGUUGGCUUAGAAGCAGCCACUCAUUCAAAGAGUGCGUAAUAGCUCACUGGUCGAGUGAUCCUGCGCCGAAGAUUUCCGGGGCUAAAACUUACUACCGAAGCUACGGCAUCAGUAAUGAUGGGUAGGGGAGCUUCCCAUACGGGUUGAAGCAUGACCGUAAGGACAUGUGGACAGUAUGGGAGUGAGAAUGUUGGCAUGAGUAGCGAGAUGUGGGUGAGAAUCCCACAGGCCGUAAACCCAAGGUUUCCAGGGGAAGGUUCGUCCGCCCUGGGUUAGUCGGGACCUAAGCUGAGGCCGAAAGGCGUAGGUGAUGGACAACAGGUUGAUAUUCCUGUACUACCGAUAACCGUUUGAGAGAAGGGAUGACACAGUAGGAUAAGCUAAGCACACUGUUGGUUAUGUGUGCCCAAGCAUUGAGGCAGUCAAAGUAGGCAAAUCCGCUUUGAUAAUGCUGGGAUGUGAUGGGGAGCGAAAUUUAGUAGCGAAGUAGCUGAUUUCACACUGUCAAGAAAAGUCUCUAUCGAGGUUAAAGGUACCCGUACCGCAAACCGACACAGGUGGGUGAGGAGAGUAUCCUAAGGCCAGCGAGAGAACUGUUGUUAAGGAACUCGGCAAAAUGACCCCGUAACUUAGGGAUAAGGGGUGCCACCAUCAGGUGGCCGCAGAGAAUAGGCCCAAGCGACUGUUUACCAAAAACAUAGGUUUCUGCUAAGUCGCAAGACGAUGUAUAGGAGCUGACGCCUGCCCGGUGCUGGAAGGUUAAGGGGAUCUGUUAGAGCAAUCGAAGCAGUGAACUUAAGCCCCAGUAAACGGCGGCCGUAACUAUAACGGUCCUAAGGUAGCGAAAUUCCUUGUCGGGUAAGUUCCGACCCGCACGAAAGGCGUAACGAUUUGGGCACUGUCUCAACAACAGACUCGGUGAAAUUGUAAUUCCGGUGAAGAUGCCGGAUACCUGCGACAGGACGGAAAGACCCCAUGGAGCUUUACUGUAGCUUGACAUUGGGUCUUGGUACUACAUGUACAGGAUAGGUGGGAGGCUUUGAAACCAGGACGCCAGUUUUGGCGGAGCCAUCCUUGGGAUACCACCCUUGUAGUACUGGGACUCUAACCAUAGGCCAUGAAUCUGGUCUUGGGACACUGUCAGGCGGGCAGUUUGACUGGGGCGGUCGCCUCCCAAAAGGUAACGGAGGCGCUCAAAGGUUCUCUCAGUACGGUCGGAAAUCGUACGUAGAGUGU
This 2316-nucleotide ribosomal RNA is filed under the name Clostridioides difficile. Its description in RNAcentral is "bacterial LSU rRNA". It matches the Rfam family "Bacterial large subunit ribosomal RNA", at positions 14 to 2352 of the family's 2925-position model. The record is from RNAcentral. Lineage: Bacteria; Bacillati; Bacillota; Clostridia; Peptostreptococcales; Peptostreptococcaceae.